RNAcentral lists this ribosomal RNA (232 nucleotides) under uncultured bacterium. RNAcentral describes it as "partial 16S ribosomal RNA". It matches the Rfam family "Bacterial small subunit ribosomal RNA", at positions 104 to 334 of the family's 1533-position model. The record is from RNAcentral.
CGGGGUGAGUAACGCGUGGGUAACCUGCCUCAUACAGGGGGAUAACGAUUGGAAACGAUUGCUAAUACCGCAUAAGCGCACAGUACCACAUGGUGCAGUGUGAAAAACUCCGGUGGUAUGAGAUGGACCCGCGUCUGAUUAGCUAGUUGGUGAGGUAACGGCCCACCAAGGCGACGAUCAGUAGCCGACCUGAGAGGGUGACCGGCCACAUUGGGACUGAGACACGGCCCAA